This 514-nucleotide ribosomal RNA is filed under the name Raillietina tunetensis. Its description in RNAcentral is "SSU rRNA". It matches the Rfam family "Eukaryotic small subunit ribosomal RNA", at positions 50 to 504 of the family's 1831-position model. The record is from RNAcentral. Lineage: Eukaryota; Metazoa; Platyhelminthes; Cestoda; Cyclophyllidea; Davaineidae.
CAUGCAUGUCUCAGUUCAGGCCUUCAUACGGUGAAACCGCGAAUGGCUCAUUAAAUCAGCUAUGGUUUAUUGGAUCAUACCCGUUAAAUGGAUAACUGUAAUAACUCUAGAGCUAAUACAUGCCUCGAUGCCCUGACCCUGUCCUCUUGUGGCUCCUGGUAGCUGCAAUUGUGGGCAAGGGAGGGGUGCACUUAUUAGAUCAGAAGCCAACCGGCGUUGCGUGUGUAUUCACGUGCGCUGAAGCACUUCUGGUGACUCUGGAUAAUUGUUACAGAUCGCAGUCGGCCUUGAGUCGGCGACGGGUCCUUCAAAUGUCUGCCCUAUCAACCUUCGAUGGUAGGUGACCUGCCUACCAUAGUAAUAACGGGUAACGGGGAAUCAGGGUUCGAUUCCGGAGAGGGAGCCUGAGAAACGGCUACCACUUCCAAGGGAGGCAGCAGGCGCGCAAAUUACCCACUCCCAGCACGGGGAGGUGGUGACGAAAAAUACCGAUGCGGGACUCCUCAAGAGGCUC